Molecule: ribosomal RNA, 170 nt
Filed under: Zoramia leptacanthus (threadfin cardinalfish)
Lineage: Eukaryota; Metazoa; Chordata; Actinopteri; Kurtiformes; Apogonidae
Description: partial small subunit ribosomal RNA
Source: RNAcentral
CACCGCGGUUAUACGAGAGGCUCAAGCUGACAGUCGCCGGCGUAAAGGGUGGUUAAUCUUCCACCAAUACUAAAGCCGAACAUUUCCAAAGUUGUAUAACACAUAUCGGAAACAUGAAGAACACCAACGAAAGUGGCUCUAUAUUCUUUGAACCCACGAAAGCUAGGAAA